CCUACGGGGGGCAGCAGUGAGGAAUAUUGGUCAAUGGCCGGAAGGCUGAACCAGCCAUGCCGCGUGAAGGUCAGUGCCCUAUGGGCGUUAAACUUCUUUUGUGCGGGAGCAAUAAUGGUCACGUGUGGCCAGACGAGAGUACCGUACGAAUAAGCAUCGGCUAACUCCGUGCCAGCAGCCGCGGUAAUACGGGGGAUGCAAGCGUUAUCCGGGUUUAUUGGGUUUAAAGGGUGCAUAGGCUGUGAGGUAAGUCAGCGGGGAAAUGCCCCCGCUCAACGGGGUGAAGUGCCAUUGAUACUGCCUUGCUGGAAUGCGGAUGCCGUGGGAGGAAUGUGUGGUGUAGCGGUGAAAUGCAUAGAUAUCACACAGAACACCGAUUGCGAAGGCAUCUCACGAAUCCGCGAUUGACGCUGAUGCACGAAAGCGUGGGUAUCAAACAGGAUUAGAUACCCUUGUAGUC
This 460-nucleotide ribosomal RNA is filed under the name uncultured bacterium. Its description in RNAcentral is "partial 16S ribosomal RNA". It matches the Rfam family "Bacterial small subunit ribosomal RNA", at positions 338 to 795 of the family's 1533-position model. The record is from RNAcentral.